RNAcentral lists this ribosomal RNA (253 nucleotides) under uncultured bacterium. RNAcentral describes it as "partial 16S ribosomal RNA". It matches the Rfam family "Bacterial small subunit ribosomal RNA", at positions 524 to 776 of the family's 1533-position model. The record is from RNAcentral.
UACGUAGGGUGCAAGCGUUAAUCGGAAUUACUGGGCGUAAAGCGUGCGCAGGCGGUUAUGUAAGACAGGUGUGAAAUCCCCGGGCUUAACCUGGGAACUGCGCUUGUAACUGGCAAGCUAGAGUGUGGCAGAGGGGGGUGGAAUUCCACGUGUAGCAGUGAAAUGCGUAGAGAUGUGGAGGAACACCGAUGGCGAAGGCAGCCCCCUGGGCUAACACUGACGCUCAUGCACGAAAGCGUGGGGAGCAAACAGG